UUUUCGGAAGGUAUGCUUAAAGAUGAGCUUGCGCCACAUUAGUUUGUUGGUGGGGUAAUGGCCUACCAAGACGAUGAUGUGUAGCUGGACUGAGAGGUCUAACAGCCACAUUGGGACUGAGACACGGCCCACACUCCUACGGGAGGCAGCAGUAGGGAAUUUUCGGCAAUGGAGGAAACUCUGACCGAGCAACGCCGCGUGAACGAUGAAGUAUUUCGGGAUGUAAAGUUCUUUUAUUGAAGAAGAAAAAAUAGUGGAAAAACUAUCUUGACGUUAUUCAAUGAAUAAGCCCCGGCUAACUAUGUGCCAGCAGCCGCGGUAAGACAUAGGGGGCGAGCGUUAUCCGGAAUUAUUGGGCGUAAAGGGUGCGUAGGCGGUUAGGAAAGUCUAUAAUUUAAUUUCAGUGCUUAACGCUGUCUUGUUAUAGAAACUACCUUGACUAGAGUUAGAUAGAGGCAAGCGGAAUUCCAUGUGUAGCGGUAAAAUGUGUAAAUAUAUGGAGGAACACCAGAAGCGUAGGCGGCUUGCUGGGUCUUGACUGACGCUGAGGCACGAAAGCGUGGGUAGCAAACAGGAUUAGAUACCCUGGUAGUCCACGCCGUAAACGAUGAGUACUAAGUGUCGGGAUAAAACUCGGUACUGAAGUUAACACAUUAAGUACUCCGCCUGAGUAGUACGUACGCAAGUAUGAAACUUAAAGGAAUUGACGGGACUCCGCACAAGCGGUGGAUCAUGUUGUUUAAUUCGAAGAUACACGAAAAAUCUUACCAGGUCUUGACAUGCUCUGCAAAGCUAUAGAAAUAUAGUGGAGGUUAUCAGGGACACAGGUGGUGCAUGGUUGUCGUCAGUUCGUGUCGUGAGAUGUUAGGUUAAGUCCUAAAACGAGCGCAACCCUUGUCGUUAGUUACCAGCACGUAAUGGUGGGCACUUUAACGAGACUGCCAAUUAAACAUUGGAGGAAGGUGAGGAUUACGUCAAAUCAUCAUGCCCCUUAUGAUCUGGGCUACAAACGUGAUACAAUGGCUGUUACAAAGAGUAGCUGAAGCGCGAGUUUUUAGCCAAUCUCAAAAAAGCAGUCUCAGUUCGGAUUGAAGUCUGUAACUCGACUUCAUGAAGUUGGAAUCGCUAGUAAUCGCGAAUCAGCA
RNAcentral lists this ribosomal RNA (1145 nucleotides) under Candidatus Phytoplasma fraxini. RNAcentral's name for it is "bacterial SSU rRNA". It matches the Rfam family "Bacterial small subunit ribosomal RNA", at positions 196 to 1354 of the family's 1533-position model. Lineage: Bacteria; Bacillati; Mycoplasmatota; Mollicutes; Acholeplasmatales; Acholeplasmataceae. The record is from RNAcentral.